This 469-nucleotide ribosomal RNA is filed under the name uncultured bacterium. RNAcentral's name for it is "bacterial SSU rRNA". It matches the Rfam family "Bacterial small subunit ribosomal RNA", at positions 46 to 513 of the family's 1533-position model. The record is from RNAcentral.
GCUUACCAUGCAGUCGAACGGCAGCGCGGGGCAACCUGGCGGCGAGUGGCGAACGGGUGAGUAAUAUAUCGGAACGUACCCUGGAGUGGGGGAUAACGUAGCGAAAGUUACGCUAAUACCGCAUACGAUCUAAGGAUGAAAGUGGGGGAUGCGCAAGCACCUCAUGCUCCUGGAGCGGCCGAUAUCUGAUUAGCUAGUUGGUGGGGUAAAGGCCUACCAAGGCAUCGAUCAGUAGCUGGUCUGAGAGGACGACCAGCCACACUGGAACUGAGACACGGUCCAGACUCCUACGGGAGGCAGCAGUGGGGAAUUUUGGACAAUGGGCGAAAGCCUGAUCCAGCAAUGCCGCGUGAGUGAAGAAGGCCUUCGGGUUGUAAAGCUCUUUUGUCAGGGAAGAAACGGUGAGAGCUAAUAUCUCUUGCUAAUGACGGUACCUGAAGAAUAAGCACCGGCUAACUACGUGCCAGCA